GAUGAACGCUGGCGGCGUGCCUAAUACAUGCAAGUCGAGCGAACAGACGAGGCGCUUGCUCCUCUGACGUUAGCGGCGGACGGGUGAGUAACACGUGGAUAACCUACCUAUAAGACUGGGAUAACUUCGGGAAACCGGAGCUAAUACCGGAUAAUAUAUUGAACCGCAUGGUUCAAUAGUGAAAGACGGUUUUGCUGUCACUUAUAGAUGGAUCCGCGCCGCAUUAGCUAGUUGGUAAGGUAACGGCCUACCAAGGCGACGAUGCGUAGCCGACCUGAGAGGGUGAUCGGCCACACUGGAACUGAGACACGGUCCAGACUCCUACGGGAGGCAGCAGUAGGGAAUCUUCCGCAAUGGGCGAAAGCCUGACGGAGCAACGCCGCGUGAGUGAUGAAGGUCUUCGGAUCGUAAAACUCUGUUAUUAGGGAAGAACAAAUGUGUAAGUAACUAUGCACGUCUUGACGGUACCUAAUCAGAAAGCCACGGCUAACUACGUG
Molecule: ribosomal RNA, 497 nt
Filed under: uncultured bacterium
Lineage: Bacteria
Description: partial 16S ribosomal RNA
Rfam family: Bacterial small subunit ribosomal RNA
Source: RNAcentral